UACGAAGGGGGCUAGCGUUGCUCGGGAUUACUGGGCGUAAAGCGCACGUAGGCGGAUUCUUAAGUCAGGGGUGAAAUCCCGGAGCUCAACUCCGGAACUGCCUUUGAUACUGAGAAUCUCGAGUCCGGGAGAGGUGAGUGGAACUCCGAGUGUAGAGGUGAAAUUCGUAGAUAUUCGGAAGAACACCAGUGGCGAAGGCGGCUCACUGGCCCGGUACUGACGCUGAGGUGCGAAAGCGUGGGGAGCAAACAGG
Molecule: ribosomal RNA, 253 nt
Filed under: uncultured bacterium
Lineage: Bacteria
Description: partial 16S ribosomal RNA
Rfam family: Bacterial small subunit ribosomal RNA
Source: RNAcentral